GAUCCAGACUUUGAUUAUGGCUCAGGAUGAACGCUAGCGGCAGGCCUAACACAUGCAAGUCGAGGGGCAUCACGAGGUAGCAAUACUUUGGUGGCGACCGGCGCACGGGUGCGUAACGCGUAUGUAACCUACCUAUAACAGGGGCAUAACACUGAGAAAUUGGUACUAAUUCCCCAUAAUAUUCGGAGAGGCAUCUCUCCGGGUUGAAAACUCCGGUGGUUAUAGAUGGACAUGCGUUGUAUUAGCUAGUUGGUGAGGUAACGGCUCACCAAGGCAACGAUACAUAGGGGGACUGAGAGGUUAACCCCCCACACUGGUACUGAGACACGGACCAGACUCCUACGGGAGGCAGCAGUGAGGAAUAUUGGUCAAUGGACGCAAGUCUGAACCAGCCAUGCCGCGUGCAGGAAGACGGCUCUAUGAGUUGUAAACUGCUUUUGUACGAGGGUAAACUCACCUACGUGUAGGUGACUGAAAGUAUCGUACGAAUAAGGAUCGGCUAACUCCGUGCCAGCAGCCGCGGUAAUACGGAGGAUUCAAGCGUUAUCCGGAUUUAUUGGGUUUAAAGGGUGCGUAGG
This 578-nucleotide ribosomal RNA is filed under the name uncultured bacterium. RNAcentral describes it as "bacterial SSU rRNA". It matches the Rfam family "Bacterial small subunit ribosomal RNA", at positions 1 to 575 of the family's 1533-position model. The record is from RNAcentral.